GGAACAUAGAGGAACCACUCUUUGUAGAAGAGCUUAUUUCAAAGAAGAAAAGAGAAAGUGAAGAAUUGGAGCACAAAGGAAUGCUUGAAAUGCAGUUUGUUAUUUGGGAAAUAGAGUUGAACCUGACAAGGAUUCUAGAAACAGAUGGAGGAACAGCUAAGUCUACUGUCUGAGAUCAUGUAGCAGGAGUCAAGCCCAGG
Molecule: long non-coding RNA, 200 nt
Organism: Cervus elaphus (red deer)
Lineage: Eukaryota; Metazoa; Chordata; Mammalia; Artiodactyla; Cervidae
Exons: 3
Source: RefSeq, a predicted model, not a curated record